AGACGGGGCCCGCACAAGCGGUGGAGCAUGUGGUUUAAUUCGAUGCAACGCGAAGAACCUUACCUGGGCUUGACAUCCCGAGAAUCCCCUGGAAACAGGGGAGUGCCCUUCGGGAGCUCGGAGACAGGUGCUGCAUGGUUGUCGUCAGCUCGUGUCGUGAGAUGUUGGGUUAAGUCCCGCAACGAGCGCAACCCCUACGUUUAGUUGCUAACAGGUGAAGCUGAGCACUCUAGACGAACUGCCGUUGACAAAACGGAGGAAGGUGGGAUGACGUCAAAUCAUCAUGCCCCUUAUGUUCUGGGCUACACACGUGCUACAAUGGCCGGUACAGACGGAGGCGGAGCCGCGAGGCGGAGCAAAUCCGAAAAAGCCGGUCUCAGUUCGGAUUGCAGGCUGCAAUUCGCCUGCAUGAAGUCGGAAUCGCUAGUAAUCGCAGGUCAGCAUACUGCGGUGAAUACGUUCCCGGGCCUU
RNAcentral lists this ribosomal RNA (471 nucleotides) under uncultured Pelotomaculum sp. RNAcentral's name for it is "bacterial SSU rRNA". It matches the Rfam family "Bacterial small subunit ribosomal RNA", at positions 916 to 1381 of the family's 1533-position model. Lineage: Bacteria; Bacillati; Bacillota; Clostridia; Eubacteriales; Desulfotomaculaceae. The record is from RNAcentral.